Molecule: long non-coding RNA, 2034 nt
Filed under: Theobroma cacao (cacao)
Lineage: Eukaryota; Viridiplantae; Streptophyta; Magnoliopsida; Malvales; Malvaceae
Description: long non-coding RNA (TCAC_LNC002532)
Source: RNAcentral
AGGAUCAAGAAUCGGAGUACUCAAAAUUUGACUCCCGAAAUAGUGAGUAACCUUAUCAUCAUCUUGAUUAUCUGAAGUGAAUUUAAUUCGUUUUUGUGAUUUUAUGAAAAAUGAGUUUAAACGGCAAAUCUUUAUGUUUUAUAAGCAAAAUGUGAUUAAAUGAAAUGAUUUUAUAAAAUUAUCUUGAAAUUGAAAGAUGGUUUUGAAAAUAGAGUAAUUGGAGACUAAUUGCUGUAUUAUAAAUCAUGGUUUGAAUUAAGUGGCUUAUGAUAAUAUUGGCAUGAAUGGUUGAUUUGGUAAAUGUGCUGAAAAUGUAUGAACUGUUGAUUUGCCUUGAGAGGCUGUAAAACAAAAUAAUUGCCAUGUCAUGCUGUUGAAUUUUAUUGAAUUAGUGGGUUAUAUAUUAGUCGCUGCAAUGGAUGGGUUCCGUGGACCAGCCUAUUAGAGGGACACGGUAACCCUAUUAUAUUCAUACCUCAGUAUGAGAGGUGCGGAUGGAUAACUCCUGAGGUUAACACUUUAGAGUUCACUUCACACUAAACCACCACGUGAGGGUAAACUCAGCCAACGCCAAGGAACGACUAUGUUUUCAAAAUAAAAACAUGAUUUAUGCGUACAUAACUUUUUAACAGCCUUGGCAGACUCGGUUGGGAUAGCCCUCGGCCAAGGUAUCCCUGAUAACUAAGUAUGAGGAUGAUUUUGGCACGAGUCAAACUUUUCAGGAAAUCAUAAGCCUCAUUGUUUAUUUUGGUGAAAUGAAUCUAUUUUAUCUUAUUAAAAUGAGUUCGAAAUGCUAAGAAUCAUUUUUAUGUUAAUCUAUUUUAUCUGUCUCCAUUUACUCAGCUUUAGAUAUUUUAGAUGGUAUUUGUUUACUCACUGGGAUUAUAUAAUCUCACCACCCUCCUUUCCACCCCUUUCAGGUUCAAGAUAGUCGGUAGAUAGCUCAUUUCGUUGAGGGCUACAGUUGGACUUGCAUCCUCAAAAACUGUAGGUUUACCUCUUUUGAUACUUUUGGUCGUUCAUGGACUCACAUGUCACUGCAAAUUAAAUCUUAUGCUUUGGUUAUUUGUAUUACAGUAUGUAUGAGUUUAUUUAGCUUUUACACUAUAAAAUUUUUUUACCGGUAACUCUAUAAAUAUUGUUUUAUAAGAAAAUAGAAUAUUUUAUUGAAUAUUUUUAUUAUAUUCAAAUAGGUAUAGUUUUACUUUAAAUGAAUAUUUUAGACAUCUAAACUUAUUUUUGAUUAUGAAAUAUGUGUUUUCCACUCGCAUACUACAUUUUUAGUUAGUUUCGAGAUUUUUGAGGAAAAAUGAUCAAAAUGCCCUUGUGAGAAAAAAAUUAUUUUUCUAUUGUUUUGAUUUGGAAAUAGUUAAUAAUCUCUCAAAACAUGAUACUUAACAACUGUUGCUCACAGGGGGGUAAAAACUGAUAUUAAAGCCUUGUGAGGUUUCGGUUGGCAUUCCGGGCAAUGAAUGUCUAUUGGAACGUCGUGGCGGUUGUCAUGGGCUUGAGGGGAGUACCGGAUCGUGACAAGUAUGCCAAUGAUGCUCCAUCGGAUGGCAACAUCUCCUUCACUAGCUACAUCAAACGAUUAAAGCAUGCCUCACUCAUGUUAAAUUUUGAUUUCACAUUCAGUAAUUGGGACAUAGCUGACAGUUUUGUGUGCUUCUCACAUUCGACUUACAAAGUUGCAUCAACAUCAUUUAACAAUGAAAAGAAAGAUGCAACGUUUGGAUUUGGAUCUUCAGGAAAGAUUGGUUCAGCUUGGGUCUCAUCAUUAAACUGAAACUUCGAUUGUAAAGCAUUCAUAACCAUUUUAGCAUAUGGAUUUUCUACUCUGAGUUCAUUAACAACUUUGUUCUCCUCACCAACAAAUUCUCCCAACGAUUGGCCGGCAUGGAACGAUUCAUCAUGUGCAUUCCAUAUUGUGUAUGCACGGUAAACCUUUUACGUAAUAGGUAUUCCUGAAUCUUAUUAGUAACCAAGAACUUGGUAUUCAUAUAUUGAAAGUAAGGGCAUCAAAUCUUAUUCUCA